Molecule: ribosomal RNA, 530 nt
Filed under: Bifidobacterium bifidum
Lineage: Bacteria; Bacillati; Actinomycetota; Actinomycetes; Bifidobacteriales; Bifidobacteriaceae
Description: bacterial SSU rRNA
Rfam family: Bacterial small subunit ribosomal RNA
Source: RNAcentral
GGUAAUGCCGGAUGUUCCACAUGAUCGCAUGUGAUUGUGGGAAAGAUUCUAUCGGCGUGGGAUGGGGUCGCGUCCUAUCAGCUUGUUGGUGAGGUAACGGCUCACCAAGGCUUCGACGGGUAGCCGGCCUGAGAGGGCGACCGGCCACAUUGGGACUGAGAUACGGCCCAGACUCCUACGGGAGGCAGCAGUGGGGAAUAUUGCACAAUGGGCGCAAGCCUGAUGCAGCGACGCCGCGUGAGGGAUGGAGGCCUUCGGGUUGUAAACCUCUUUUGUUUGGGAGCAAGCCUUCGGGUGAGUGUACCUUUCGAAUAAGCGCCGGCUAACUACGUGCCAGCAGCCGCGGUAAUACGUAGGGCGCAAGCGUUAUCCGGAUUUAUUGGGCGUAAAGGGCUCGUAGGCGGCUCGUCGCGUCCGGUGUGAAAGUCCAUCGCUUAACGGUGGAUCUGCGCCGGGUACGGGCGGGCUGGAGUGCGGUAGGGGAGACUGGAAUUCCCGGUGUAACGGUGGAAUGUGUAGAUAUCGGAAAA